UACGGAGGGUGCGGGCGUUGUUCGGAAUUACUGGGCGUAAAGCGCGCGUAGGCGGUUUGCUAAGUCAGAUGUGAAAGCCCUCGGCUUAACCGGGGACGUGCAUUUGAAACUGGCAGACUUGAGUACUGGAGGGGGUGGUGGAAUUCCCGGUGUAGAGGUGAAAUUCGUAGAUAUCGGGAGGAAUACCGGUGGCGAAGGCGACCACCUGGCCAGAUACUGACGCUGAGGUGCGAAAGCGUGGGGAGCAAACAGG
Molecule: ribosomal RNA, 253 nt
Filed under: uncultured bacterium
Lineage: Bacteria
Description: partial 16S ribosomal RNA
Rfam family: Bacterial small subunit ribosomal RNA
Source: RNAcentral